CAGCCCCUCGAGUGGUGGGGAUGAUUAUUUGGCCUAAAGCGUCCGUAGCCGGCCGAGUAAGUCCCCCGUUAAAUCCAGCGUCUCAAGCGUUGGACUGCGGGAGAUACUACUUGGCUAGAGAGUGGGAGAGGUCAGCGGUAUUCUGGGGGUAGGGGCGAAAUCCUUUGAUCCCCGGAGGACCACCAGUGGCGAAGGCUGCUGACUAGAACACGUCUGACGGUCAGGGACGAAAGCUGGGGUAGUGAACCGGAUUAGAUACCCGAGUAGUCC
This 270-nucleotide ribosomal RNA is filed under the name uncultured archaeon. RNAcentral describes it as "partial 16S ribosomal RNA". It matches the Rfam family "Archaeal small subunit ribosomal RNA", at positions 477 to 747 of the family's 1478-position model. The record is from RNAcentral.